UUCUGCAGAUAAACCCGGUGCGGAGACAGAAAGUCCCCUUGAAAGGAAGCAGAAAUGAGUGGACAUUUGACAUAGAAACAAAGGCGCUGCUCUCCGAGAUGCUGAAACUCAUGACUGUACCUGUUUCCCUGAUGUACCAGCUGCACCGGGCUUUGAUCCUACACCUCCCCGAAGGCCGUGCGGGAAUCCCUGGGGUCAUUUGCCUCUUGAGUCCCCAGAAUGGCGGGUUGAGCUGGAGAGCCAUAAAUGAGAAAGGAGAAAAUACAGAGCACAUUGCCUCUCACGGGCACCUGGCAUGACUGCCGACCCUCUCACGCCUCUAGCCACCAGGUUCCAGAUGCUGCCAUGAUGCCGACCAGACUUCCCUGGACAGACAACCCCACCAAUGUGUCCUGGAGCCCUGCUUCCCCAGAGCCCUGCCCCACUAGGGAAAGAGAGAGACAGGCUGGGAGUAUGGAUCCACCUGCCAACACCCAUGUUCAGCAGGGAAGCAGUGACAGAAGCCAGACCUUCCACCUUCUGCAUCCCACAAUGACCCUGGGUCCAUGCUCCCAGAGGGAUAAAGAAUAGGAAAGCUGUCAGGGGAGGGGAGGGGAUACGGAGUUCUGGUGGUGGGAAUUGUGUGGAGUUGUACCCCUCUGAUCCAAUGGUUUUGUCAGUGUUUCCUUUUUAUAAAUAAAAUUUUUUUUUUAAUUAUGGCCUGGUUUCUCAAAUCUCCUGGCCUGUAUAUUGUUAUAUGGAAAAUUAAGAAAUGUUAUGCAUGUACAAAUUAUUGUAUUUACUGAUGACUGUAAAACAUUAAUCUCCCAAUAAAAGAAAAUAAAUAUUAAAAAUAAGUAGAUGUCUUUAAAAAUAAAACAACAGAUACUCUUAGAAUUAAAAAAAAAAUCUUCUGGCCUGGUAAUUG
Molecule: long non-coding RNA, 907 nt
Organism: Erinaceus europaeus (western European hedgehog)
Lineage: Eukaryota; Metazoa; Chordata; Mammalia; Eulipotyphla; Erinaceidae
Exons: 3
Source: RefSeq, a predicted model, not a curated record